This is a long non-coding RNA of Clupea harengus (Atlantic herring), 2597 nucleotides long. RefSeq lists it as uncharacterized. The transcript is spliced from 4 exons. NCBI's taxonomy places the organism in Eukaryota, Metazoa, Chordata, Actinopteri, Clupeiformes, Clupeidae. The record is from RefSeq and is a predicted model, not a curated record.
UUUCGUUUUAAUGCAAUAAGUAUAAUAAUCAUUUAGUGGGACAUAAUGUCCUAUGGCGUGACACACAUAAAAGUACAAACAAAUGUUUUACCUUAAAGUACCUUAACAAACAGUUGGGUAUUACAUUAGGGGAGAUAUAAUCAUCACUCAUCUUAAAUUGGUAUAAGUUUCAACAGUUUUGAAAGGAUAGCAAAGUGAAUUUGAUCUUUCCUAGGAUUCAUUGGAUGAAACCGAUUCCAACCGGAAAGAAAGCCACUGGUGAACGUGCACGAGAGACAUAAGAUGAGGUGGACAGACUCUGGGUCAAACACAGGGAGAAAGAGAUCGUUAGAUGUCCAGCCAUGUGUCCUUCUGAAGAAAGACAAGAAGGGCACGUUUUUAUCUACAAAAGUGUUAAUGGUUGAAUAAAUGUUUCAGCAAAUAGUUGACCAUUCUAAUGGAAUAGUUUAUAUUGGCUGUAGGCUCUGUAGAUUAUUCUCCUGAGGUAUCCUUAAUGUAUGAGGCUGAGCAUUUACAUCUGAUGUGUAUUAAUAAAUGCAGAAUGUUCUAGAUCAGUCCUCAUUUAUCUCAUUAGUGUAUUACUGAGCAGACUGGUGCAGUGGAUGAUGGGGAGGACCACAUGAGUACUAGCCACCAUACUGCACCGUGAACCAGAGGAGGAUUAGCCACCAUACUGCACCGUGAACCAGAGGAGGAUUAGCCACCAUACUGCACCGUGAACCAGAGGAGGAUUAGCCACCAUACUGCACAGUGAACCAGAGGAGGAUUAGCCACCAUACUGCACAGUGAGGCCAGACUGCCAGAAGAUGGGGCCCAAUGUGGACAUCAUUCACUAACGCCUCAAGAAAGCACAGAAAUACUGAAGACACUAUAUUCAACAACAGACCACUGCAGAGGUCUGACAAGAACUCCCCUGCUUCUCUGUUCCAGUCUUGUCGGACAAGCGUGUUCAAGGCCCAUGUUUCCACAAUGUGACGCACACUAGCCACUAAGCAACCUCAGGACCUGUGGCUCUUCACUGUGGGACUUUAAAUGUAAGGUGAAUGACUGUUUUGUCCUGAUCACAUUCCAGGGUAUGUGCAGAAUUGUUGAGAUUGUUUAGUAAUAUUGAUAAUACCAAAUGAUUGAAUAGAAUAAAUGAUCAAAUAUUCAAUAUUUGCUUCUGAAUGCUGAUAACGUGAACUGAUUUAAUCUGCAUGUUUUGUUCUAGCUAUGUGAAUAGGCAUGACACUUCUUAAGAAGAAAAGAAGAACAUGUGUGACUAGCUGUACAGUACUGGAUAAGACACUGCUUGAUACAGGGGGUUGAGGAAAGAUAAGAAACAGCUGCAGCUGAAUAAAUACUGCGUUUAGUUUCAUUGCACCUUACCUUUAGGUCAUGAAGCCACAUAUAGCUGCCAUAUUAUUUCAUAUUAAUUUAUUCCCUUAUUAAUUUCAGAUUUUAUUUAAUCUGUUUUAGGCCUUUAAACCACAUUAAGCUCAAUCGUUUUCAAUUCAUUUUCAACUGGAGAUCCUGCCAUAGUUUUUUUUACCAGGUCAUUAAGCCAUGAUAAAACCUCAUUACAUGAAUGCGGACAUACUCCUCCUUUUUCAAGGAACCCUUAAGCCCGACACCCACAAUCUUCUCAAGCAGCAGUGAUGACAAGCCCCUGGGUGACGAGACGGAUGACGCUGUCACAAUGGAGAGACACAAAGAUGGUGGACUAUGGAGAGGUACUCUUGUCUUUGGCCAAUGAUGGUGGACUAUGGAGAGGUACUCUUGUCUUUGGCCAAUGAUGGUGGACUAUGGAGAGGUACUCUUGUCUUUGGCCAAUGAUGGUGGACUAUGGAGAGGUACUCUUCUCUUUGGCCAAUGAUGGUGGACUAUGGAGAGGUACUCUUGUCUUUGGCCAAUGAUGGUGGACUAUGGAGAGGUACUCUUGUCUUUGGCCAAUGAUGGUGGACUAUGGGGAGGUACUCUUGUCUUUGGCCAAUGAUGGUGGACUAUGGAGAGGUACUCUUGUCUUUGGCCAAUGAUGGUGGACUAUGGAGAGGUACUCUUGUCUUUGGCCAAUGAUGGUGGACUAUGGAGAGGUACUCUUCUCUUUGGCCAAUGAUGGUGGACUAUGGAGAGGUACUCUUGUCUUUGGCCAAUGAUGGUGGACUAUGGAGAGGUACUCUUGUCUUUGGCCAAUGAUGGUGGACUAUGGGGAGGUACUCUUGUCUUUGGCCAAUGAUGGUGGACUAUGGAGAGGUACUCUUGUCUUUGGCCAAUGAUGGUGGACUAUGGAGAGGUACUCUUGUCUUUGGCCAUGGGUGUUGUGCUGGCCCUCUAUCAUGUCUACAACAUUGCAUCUCCCUGUCGGCUAAAGGAAACAUUUUCAUUUUUGUAGGCGUUUAUCUUGAACCUUGAUACUCUAACAACACGUGUACCUGUAGCUGUGCAGAAAGUUAAAAAUGCCCUGAAUAUUUCAUAAAAAUCAAUUUUGUAUGGUAUUAGGGGUUUAUGUACUCCUAAAAUAACUAAUAAUCUGUAAAAGUAUAAUUUUCACCUGGACAUGAUUUUUUAUCUCUACAAUUCCAUUCAUAUGCAAAAUAAAUGAAUUGAGAAUGAAACUG